Molecule: ribosomal RNA, 550 nt
Filed under: uncultured bacterium
Lineage: Bacteria
Description: bacterial SSU rRNA
Rfam family: Bacterial small subunit ribosomal RNA
Source: RNAcentral
AGAGUUUGAUCCUGGCUCAGGAUAAACGCUGGCGGCGUGCCUAAUGCAUGCAAGUCGCACGGGAGCCCUUCGGGGUCGACCGUGGCGGACGGGUGAGGAACACGUGGCUAACCUGCCCAACAGUGGGGGAUAACCUCGGGAAACCGAGGCUAAUACCGCAUACGCUCAUCCGGGGGGACGUGGAUGAGGAAACGGAGAAAUCCGCUGAUGGAGGGGGCUGCGGCCGAUUAGCUAGUUGGUGGGGUAAAGGCUUACCAAGGCGGUGAUCGGUAGCUGGUCUGAGAGGACGAUCAGCCACACGGGGACUGAGACACGGCCCCGACUCCUACGGGAGGCAGCAGCAAGGAAUUUUCCACAAUGGGCGCAAGCCUGAUGGAGCAACGCCGCGUGGGGGAUGACGCUUUUCGGAGUGUAAACCCCUUUUCGAGAGGACGAAGCCAAUGACGGUACUCUCGGAAUAAGGACCGGCUAACUACGUGCCAGCAGCCGCGGUAAGACGUAGGGUCCGAGCGUUGUCCGGAGUUACUGGGCGUAAAGCGCGCGCAGGCGG